CCUACGGUAGGCAGCAGUAGGGAAUCUUCCACAAUGGGCGAAAGCCUGAUGGAGCAACGCCGCGUGGGUGAAGAAGGUCUUCGGAUCGUAAAACCCUUUUGUUAGAGAAGAAAGUGCGUGAGAGUAACUGUUCACGUUUCGACGGUAUCUAACCAGACAGCCACGGCUAACUACGUGCCAGCAGCCGCGGUAAUACGUAGGUGGCAAGCGUUAUCCGGAUUUAUUGGGCGUAAAGGGAACGCAGGCGGUCUUUUAAGUCUGAUGUGAAAGCCUUCGGCUUAACCGGAGUAGUGCAUUGGAAACUGGGAGGCUUGAGUGCAGAAGAGGCGAGUGGAACUCCAGGUGUAGCGGUGAAAUGCGUAGAUAUAUGGAAGAACACCAGUGGCGAAAGCGGCUCUCUGGUCUGUAACUGACGCUGAGGUUCGAAAGCGUGGGUAGCAAACAGGAUUAGAUACCCGAGUAGUC
This 465-nucleotide ribosomal RNA is filed under the name uncultured bacterium. Its description in RNAcentral is "partial 16S ribosomal RNA". It matches the Rfam family "Bacterial small subunit ribosomal RNA", at positions 338 to 795 of the family's 1533-position model. The record is from RNAcentral.